CCUACGGGUGGCAGCAGUGAGGAAUAUUGGUCAAUGGGCGCGAGCCUGAACCAGCCAAGUCGCGUGAAGGAAGACUGUCCUACGGAUUGUAAACCUCUUUUAUCGAGGAGUAAAAGACGCCACGCGUGCCGUUCCGAGUGUACCCGAAGAAAAAGCAUCGGCUAACUCCGUGCCAGCAGCCGCGGUAAUACGGAGGAUGCGAGCGUUAUCCGGAUUUAUUGGGUUUAAAGGGUGCGUAGGCGGGCGGAUAAGUUAGAGGUGAAAUCCCGAGGCUCAACUGCGGAAUUGCAUUUGAUACUGGUCGGCUUGAGAGUAGUUGCGGUAGGCGGAAUGUAUGGUGUAGCGGUGAAAUGCUUAGAGAUCAUACAGAACACCGAUUGCGAAGGCAGCUUACCAAGCUACUUCUGACGUUGAGGCACGAAAGCGUGGGGAGCAAACAGGAUUAGAUACCCCAGUAGUC
This 460-nucleotide ribosomal RNA is filed under the name uncultured bacterium. RNAcentral describes it as "partial 16S ribosomal RNA". It matches the Rfam family "Bacterial small subunit ribosomal RNA", at positions 338 to 795 of the family's 1533-position model. The record is from RNAcentral.